GAUGUUUUGGAACCUGCUAAAUAGUCCCAUUCUGAAAGUUAUCUUUUCUUUUGGCAAAGAAUUUAUUGGCACAUAGCAAGUUUAAAAAUGGCAACAGAGCACUGCGGUCAUUUGCUGUUAUGUACAGACUCCAGUACUAGCUACAGGACCCGUGGGGGUGUGGAGGCUGCGGCGAUGCUCAAAGUGGGCAGCAAGUUUUAUACAUUUGAUGAGUUAAGCAGCCGUUUGGAGGAAUUUCAAGACCUUGAACAGGUUCAGCUUUGGGUGAGGGAUUCAAGAACUGUUGUUGCUGCUGCAAAGAGGGCACGUCGAAAGUCCCUCAACCCAGCCCUUAAAUAUGCCGAGCUGACCUACUCCUGUGUUUUUGGAGGACGCAGACCGUCCGACCAAACAAAAAUACACAAUCAGACAUCAGCAGGAGGUUGCCCAUUUAAGGUCCGACUGUCAACAUCUAUCGAUGGUCAAGCCCUAGUUGUUAAAGAAAUAUGCCAUGAACAUAAUCAUGAACCAGGGAAAAAAUUGCAUGAAGAACCACGGCGUUUGUACAAAAAGACUCAAAACCGUACAACUGUGCGAAAACCCGUCCGUUACAUUGUAAACAAGCAGCGAGUCUCUAGUGGCACAUGCAAGACUAAGAGUCGUCUGGACCACACUGAGUCUCAUGUCCAGUUGGGACAGUCACCCUUCCACCACCUUCAGCUUCACCAGCAACAGUACCAGCAACAACAACAGUUGAAACUACAGUUGCAACAACAUCUACAACAGCAGCAGCAGCAGCAACAGCAGCAGCAGUUGCAUGAGAAGGAAGCUGAGGUGAUCCAGCUGGACUCUCCAGACCAUGUUGACACACCAGAGCACCUGAGUUCUCCUGAUCUCUCCACCACCUUUGAUCAGCUGGGUUCACUCAAUAACUCCGUCGAUCAGUACACGUACCUGCCACCCUCACCAAUCUCUCCGAGGAAUCUUGGCUGUAGCCGCUUGUGGAAGUGGCGACCACGGGGCUAGUGAACUUGUGGGUCGCUUCAUCUCAUUGUCGACUGAUCCAUCACUAGUUUGAACCUUUGACAUCUAACUCGACAUCAACCCAAUACCCAUUGCACGUUCCCAAACCUCAUUCAUGUAGAUCCUGUCUAGUGGUUGUCCAGUUGACUGUGAAGAAGAAGAACGGUUGGAGCCUAUUUUGGAUUUGGAGGAGGCCUUGGAGGAAGCCCUAGGUGACCUUGAUAGUGUGGGCAGCAUGGAGGUAGAUGCCAACCUCCGACUAACCUCUUCUGGGAGCACCUCCUCCAGCUUGGUGUCUCAGUCAGAAACAACAGCCACCGAUGAUCCCACAGGUCCUCCUCCUGCCAAAAGGCAACGGGGACGUCCCAGAAAGCAGUCAUUUACAGGAAGUACGUUUGAUAAUAGUGUGGACAUUCCAGAUCUUGAUUUCAGUCUAAGCGACUUGAUGGACUUUGACGUCUAUCUGUUUUAGCAUCGGGACGAUGGUGAGAGGAACUAUCACCUGUAGCUACAAAGUCUGAGUUCAAACUUGUACAGUUGCCCCCUUAUAUGAACUGGACUUCAUAAUAGUUGAUCCAAGCGUAGUAAAGUCUUGUACUUUUCUUUUGUAAAUCUUCCCUUCUAUUCUGUUUAUAUCAGUUUUUAUGGAACUGAGCUUGAGUUAACAAGGUUUCACUCUUUAGGGUCAUGGCUAUAUUUUUAGUUCUGGUUCCAUGGUAGUAAUAUACUCAUGAAAGAAAUGUCACUUGUAAAAUUGCACAUGAACAAAGAGCUGGUUUAAAGAAAUAUAACCACAAAGCUUUA
RNA transcript from Scylla paramamosain (green mud crab), 1806 nucleotides. RefSeq lists it as uncharacterized. NCBI's taxonomy places the organism in Eukaryota, Metazoa, Arthropoda, Malacostraca, Decapoda, Portunidae. The record is from RefSeq and is a predicted model, not a curated record. The transcript is spliced from 6 exons.